UGGGGAAUAUUGGACAAUGGGCGCAAGCCUGAUCCAGCCAUGCCGCGUGAGUGAUGACGGCCUUAGGGUUGUAAAGCUCUUUCGCUCGGGACGAUAAUGACGGUACCGAGAUAAGAAGCCCCGGCUAACUUCGUGCCAGCAGCCGCGGUAAUACGAAGGGGGCUAGCGUUGUUCGGAAUUACUGGGCGUAGAGCGCGUGUAGGCGGGUCUUUAAGUCAGGGGUGAAAUGCCAAGGCUCAACCUUGGAACUGCCUUUGAUACUGGAGAUCUUGAGUCCGGGAGAGGUGAGUGGAAUUGCGAGUGUAGAGGUGAAAUUCGUAGAUAUUCGCAAGAACACCAGUGGCGAAGGCGGCUCACUGGCCCGGAACUGACGCUGAGACGCGAAAGCGUGGGGAGCAAAC
Molecule: ribosomal RNA, 401 nt
Filed under: uncultured bacterium
Lineage: Bacteria
Description: bacterial SSU rRNA
Rfam family: Bacterial small subunit ribosomal RNA
Source: RNAcentral